CUGUAGGGGUUAGAGAGGAGACUAGUUAGAGAGACAACUGUUUUGUGUAGGGGUUAGAGAGGAGACUAGAUAGAGACAACUGUUUUCUGUAGGGGUUAGAGAGGAGACUAGAUAGAGAGACAACUGUUUUGUGUAGGGGUUAGAGAGGAGACUAGAUAGAGACAACUGUUUUGUGUAGGGGUUAGAGAGGAGAGUAGUUAGAGAGACAACUGUUUUGUGUUAGAGAGGAGACUAGUUAGAGAACUGUUUUGUGUAAAGGUUAGAGAGGAGACUAGAUAGAGACAACUGUUUUGUGUAGGGGUUAGAGAGGAGAGUAGUUAGAGAGACAACUGUUUUGUGUUAGAGAGGAGACUAGUUACAGACAACUGUUUUGUGUAGGGGUUAGAGAGGAGACUAGUUACAGACAACUGUUUUGUGUAGGGGUUAGAGAGGAGACUAGAUAGAGACAACUAUUUUGUGUAGGGGUUAGAGAGGAGACUAGUUAGAGACAACUGUUUUGUGUAGGGGUUAGAGAGGAGACUAGUUAGAGAGACAACUGUUUUGUGUAGGGGUUAGAGAGGAGACUAGUAACAGAGACAACUGUUUUGUGUAGGGGUUAGAGAGGAGACUAGACAGAGACAACUGUUUUGUGUAGGGGUUAGAGAGGAGACUAGAUAGAGACAACUGUUUUGUGUAGGGAUAAGAGAGGAGACUAGAUAGAGACAACUGUUUUGUGUAGGGUUUAGAGAGGAGACUAGACAGAGACAACUGUUUUGUGUAGGGAUAAGAGAGGAGACUAGAUAGAGACAACUGUUUUGUGUAGGGUUUAGAGAGGAGACUAGACAGAGACAACUGUUUUGUGUAGGGAUAAGAGAGGAGACUAGAUAGAGACAACUGUUUUGUGUAGGGUUUAGAGAGGAGACUAGACAGAGACAACUGUUUUGUGUAGGGAUAAGAGAGGAGACUAGAUAGAGACAACUGUUUUGUGUAGGGUUUAGAGAGGAGACUAGACAGAGACAACUGUUUUGUGUAGGGAUAAGAGAGGAGACUAGAUAGAGACAACUGUUUUGUGUAGGGGUUAGAGAGGAGACUAGAUAGAGACAACUGUUUUGUGUAGGGGUUAGAGAGGAGACUAGAUAGAGACAACUGUUUUGUGUAGGGGUUAGAGAGGAGACUAGAUAGAGACAACUGUUUUGUGUAGGGGUUAGAGAGGAGACUAGAUAGACAACGGUUAUCUGUAGGGGUUAGAGAGGAGACUAGAUAGAGACAACUGUUUUGUGUAGGGGUUAGAGAGGAGACUAGAUAGAGACAACUGUUUUGUGUAGGGUUUAGAGAGGAGACUAGAUAGAGACAACUGUUUUGUGUAGGGUUUAGAGAGGAGACUAGAUAGAGACAACUGUUUUGUGUAGGGGUUAGAGAGGAGACUAGACAGAGACAACUGUUUUGUGUAGGGAUAAGAGAGGAGACUAGAUAGACAACGGUUAUCUGUAGGGGUUAGAGAGGAGACUAGUUAGAGAGACAACUGUUUUGUUUAGGGGUUAGAAAGGAGACUAGUUAGAGAGACAACUGUUUUGUUUAAGGGUUGGGAGAGCAGGCGGAGCCCACCACCACCACUACUACUACUACUACUGGUACUACUACUACUAACACUACUACUAAUACUGCUACUUCUACUACUAAUACUCUAGGACAGCAGUUUGAGAAGACCAGAGGAAGUGAUGGAGCAUCAGUCUGAAUGCAGAUGUCCAUAUGACUGGGGCGGCAGGGUAGCCUAGUGGUUAGAGUAUUGGACUAGUAAUCGGAAUGGUUGCAAUUUGUGGGGAAUUUAUAUUUGAUGAGACCAUUUUCGAUGUUUAGGGAGGCUAGGUUGUAUCCCAUCUCAAUAUUAGACUGUUUUUAAUAAAGAUUGUAACGAAAAUCCUGAUAAGAAGAGUUAUAAUUCUGAUAUAGGUUUAAAGGUUAGAUUAAGGUUAAGGUUAGAUUUGAUUAAUAAUGGGUGAAGAGUCGGAUAAACAUUUAUAAUAAUGUUGGUUAUGUGUCUAUUCAUAUGAUAAUCUGGUAAACCUUUAUAAUAAGGUUAAUUAUAAGUCUAUUCGUAUGAUAAAUCUGAUAAACCUUUAUAAUAAGGUUAGUUAUAAGUUUGUUCAUAUUUUUGUUUUUUUAUGUUUGAUAAAAUUAGAUGUAGAUUUGAAUGUAUAAUAUUUAAUCAAAGGGAGGAUUGUUGUAGGAAAUUAUAGUUGAAUUGAUUAAUUAUGUAUACAUUUAAAUUAGAACCAUUUAUUUUAAUACUAUUAUGUUAUGGUAUUAAAUGUAUGGGUUCUUGGUUAAGCUGUUCCUGAAAAUGUAAGUAAAACAAAUUAAUUGUCUGUACCUUGCGGGUUUAAGGGAGGGGGAUGGCAUAUAUCUUUUCAGACAGAUAAGAAUGUUUGUUUGAUGUUCCAUUAGUGGAGAAACGUAUAUCUUUUAGACAGAUUGGAAUGUUUGUUUUAUGAGGGAGUAGAAGACAAUUUCCAGACCUGAAGACACUGCGCUAUUGUGUGGAUCGGAGAGGGUGUGAGAAACUUAUGACGUCAUUUUAUGUUCUCUCCUUAAAAUGUAAUGUUCUUUGUAUUUUGAGUCAGUACUCAUCAAGAAUAAAUGCUGAACUUGUUUUUAA
Long non-coding RNA from Oncorhynchus keta (chum salmon), 2635 nucleotides. RefSeq lists it as uncharacterized. The transcript has 2 exons. NCBI's taxonomy places the organism in Eukaryota, Metazoa, Chordata, Actinopteri, Salmoniformes, Salmonidae. The record is from RefSeq and is a predicted model, not a curated record.